CUCGAAUGAGAAAUUGGAAUUCAACAAAUAGCAAUCAAAAGGGGGAAGGAGGGAACGGAGACACUCGACUGAAAAUACAAGGAAGAGAGGGAAUAUAUCAGCAAUGGAGAUGAAAAGCCCACCUCCAUGUCCAAACACCGUCACCGUCCGUCGAAAUCCUCCGCGGAGGGCUAGGCCUACGCCUUCCACAAACCCUCACCAAAACCUCAUACCUCCAUCAUCGUCAUCAAAAUCAAAUAAACCAGAUAUUCUUCCAUUUCCGAUGCAAGAUAUUCUGUCAAUGGAAAUUCCUCAGAAUCCUCAACCCCACCCACCUCCCUCUUCACCAACCCCUGCCUCAGUUUCUGAGAAUCUCAGGGUUUAUCUUAGAAUUCGACCUCUUGUGCCUCCCAAGACAUCCAAAGAUGUCGUUGAUCAAAAGAGAAAAAAAAUUGCUUGGCCUCAAAACCCUGUCGCGAAGAAGAAUGGCAUAAGAGAGAAAAAUACAAAGAAAAAGAGUUGUAAGAUUUGUAUAUCAGUCAAUGAUCCUCAAUCAGUGACGCUAUCCCCGCCUCCAGCCUUGCAGGACUCUAAAAGGAUCAAGUCUGUGGUUUAUGAAGGGUUUUCUCGUGUUUUUGCAGCCGAUUCUUCUCAGAAUGAAGUGUAUGAUAUUAUGGUGAAGCCGUUGGUGGAGGAUUUUCUUAAUGGUAGAAAUGGAAUGCUAGCUGCUUUGGGACCUAGUGGUUCAGGCAAAACUCAUACGGUGUUUGGGACUGCCAGGGAGCCUGGGAUGGUUCCACUUGCACUUCAACACAUCUUUAAACAGACCAAGGAGUGUGGCUCUAAGUUGUCAAGGUCAUUCUACAUAUCCAUUUUUGAAAUAUAUUCUGAAGGAGGGAAGGCAGAGAGAAUGCUUGAUUUAUCCCCAGGUGGAGCUGACUUGACCAUGCAACAGUCAACUGUUAAAGGUCUACAAGAGGUUGCCAUUGCCGAUACUGCACAUGCAGAAUCGUUGAUAGCUUCUGCAAUGUUAAGACGUUCUACAGCCAUGACAAAUGCAAACAGCCAGUCAAGCCGGUCACAAUGCAUUAUAAACAUCCAUAGUCUUCUUAACAAGUGUGACAAGGAGCUAGAUGUUCAAUCAAAUAAUGCUGUCCUAACUAUUGUUGAUCUAGCUGGAGCUGAAAGAGAAAGGAGAACGGGGAAUCAGGGGUCAAGGUUGCUUGAAAGCAAUUUCAUCAACAAUACAUCGAUGGUUUUCGGUCUUUGCCUAAGAUCAUUAUUGGAGCAUCAAAAAAACCCCAAGAAGCCAUUGCAGAAGCACUUCCAGAAUUCUUUGUUGACUAGGUAUUUACGAGAUUAUUUGGAAGGAAAGAAGCGGAUGGCUUUGAUUUUAACAGUAAAACCAGGAGAAGAGGAUUAUCUUGAUACAGUCUACCUCUUGAGACAAUCAUCACCUUUUAUGAAAAUCAAGUUCAAUAACGUCGAUGAACAACCAAAUUCAGUUCAUCACAAGAGGCAUAUUCAAUCAUUGUAUGGAGUUGAAGAGCCAAAGAGAAAGAAAUACUGUGGCCUUGAUGCUAAUGAGAAAAAAGAAGGAAAAAGCACUGGAGAUGAACAUCUACUGUUGGAGGAAGGUUGUACCAAAGAAGUAGAAUAUGUGACAAAGGUGCUUGUUUAGUCACAGACGGGCCUCGAAUCUCAAAAUUCAACUCCAUUGAUACCGCACCUGUAAAGUCGGACUGUGGUGAUUGGGCAAUAAGGGAAAGAAAUCAUCAAAUUAUGCAAAAUUUUGCUAAAGCAUUAUGGAAUGUCUUGAAGGAAUACAAAGAGAAACUCACGGUGGCAGAAAAAGAAAAUGGGAAUCUCAAUGAGAAACUUAGAAGUGAAAAGUCAAGAUAUAUCGAGCUGGAAAAGGAGCUUGAAGAUUUCAAGUCCUGUUGUACUUGUUCCAAGGAAAAUUCAGUGGAGGCUCUUAAAGUAGAUACUGACAUUCAUGCCCCAGUACAUGUAGAGGGGAAUGAAUGUAGCAAUUUUGAUGAGGCACCCAAUGUCGUGGAAUCUAAGUGCGAUAAGUCUCCUAUCGUGUGCAGCUUGAAACCAGGACAGGAUCAAUAUUUAUUUCCUGACGUCCAUUCAAAAGUGAUAUUAUUUUUUUUUUUUCCUUGAAAUCUUUUGUAUUUUUUUUUCUUGGAAGUAGUUCAUUUUUGAAACUUGAUCUAUUUCCUCAGGUGCAUAAACCAUUUGUAUUUUACCCAAUAAUCACCUCAAUUUAUAAUCAAAAGUUAAAAAAAAAAAAAUUAUUAUUGUGAACUGGUACACCAGCUUGAGGAAGAAGAUAAAAAAUUGAAUCUGUUAUUGCAGUUAGAAUUGUUACAACUAAAAGAAGAUACCAAAAUGAGCUAGAGCUCAACUAAUAUAGUGACCUGUAGCUGAUAACCUUCCUGCACUUGUCUUGAUCAGUUGCUUACUAACUACUCGAAUUUAUAAAUUACACAACAAAACUAAAUAACAAUCAACAACAAAAAAUCAUUCUUCAAUUAUUCACUCGGAAUACAUGUGCAUUUCUGGUCUGAAAAGUGAAUUGAUCCAAGGCUUGCUUGUCCAGGUAGAAGCAAAGAGCCAUUCUCCCAACCUCAAGGCAUCUGAAUGCACUGGUACUCUCACACAUGAUCAGGAUGUUACUGGUCAGGUGGAUGAGAGUGUUCAUUCUCCUAACCUCAAGGAAUCUAAAUGCAGUAGCACUCCAACAUGGGAUCAGGAUAUUUCAACUCAGGCAGAAGUAAAGAGUUAUUCUCCUACCCUUAAGGCAUCUGAAUGCACAAGUAGUCAGCAUGAUCAGGAUGUUACAAGUCAGGUGGGUGAGAGUGUUCAUUCUCCCAACCACAAGGAAUCUAAAUGCGGUAGCACUCCAACACGGGAUCAGGAUAUUUCAACUCAGUCAGAAGUAAAGAGUCAUCAUUCUCCCAACCUCAAGGCAUUUGAAUGCACUGGUACUGCUACACAUGAUCAGGAUCUUACAAGUCAGGCGGGUGAGAAUGAUCCUUCUCCUAACCUCAAGGAAUCUAGAUGCAGUAGCACUCCG
This 3064-nucleotide unclassified non-coding RNA is filed under the name Hevea brasiliensis (rubber tree). Lineage: Eukaryota; Viridiplantae; Streptophyta; Magnoliopsida; Malpighiales; Euphorbiaceae. The record is from RNAcentral.